RNAcentral lists this ribosomal RNA (373 nucleotides) under uncultured organism. Its description in RNAcentral is "bacterial SSU rRNA". It matches the Rfam family "Bacterial small subunit ribosomal RNA", at positions 526 to 896 of the family's 1533-position model. The record is from RNAcentral.
CGGGGGGGGCAAGCGUUGUUCGGAAUUACUGGGCGUAAAGGGCCCGUAGGCGGCCAACUAAGUCAGACGUGAAAUCCCUCGGCUUAACCGGGGAACUGCGUCUGAUACUGGAUGGCUUGAGUUUGGGAGAGGGAUGCGGAAUUCCAGGUGUAGCGGUGAAAUGCGUAGAUAUCUGGAGGAACACCGGUGGCGAAGGCGGCAUCCUGGACCAACACUGACGCUGAGUGAGCGAAAGCCAGGGGAGCAAACGGGAUUAGAUACCCCGGUAGUCCUGGCCCUAAACGAUGAAUGCUUGGUGUGACGGGUAUCGAUCCCUGUCGUGCCGAAGCUAACGCAUUAAGCAUUCCGCCUGGGGAGUACGGUCGCAAGGCUG